This 404-nucleotide ribosomal RNA is filed under the name Actinomycetes bacterium. RNAcentral's name for it is "Actinobacteria bacterium partial 16S ribosomal RNA". It matches the Rfam family "Bacterial small subunit ribosomal RNA", at positions 355 to 776 of the family's 1533-position model. The record is from RNAcentral. Lineage: Bacteria; Bacillati; Actinomycetota; Actinomycetes.
UGGGGAAUAUUGGACAAUGGGCGCAAGCCUGAUCCAGCCAUGCCGCGUGAGUGAUGAAGGCCCUAGGGUUGUAAAGCUCUUUCACCGGUGAAGAUAAUGACGGUAACCGGAGAAGAAGCCCCGGCUAACUUUGUGCCAGCAGCCGCGGUAAUACGAAGGGGGCUAGCGUUGUUCGGAUUUACUGGGCGUAAAGCGCACGUAGGCGGACUAUUAAGUCAGGGGUGAAAUCCCGGGGCUCAACCCCGGAACUGCCUUUGAUACUGGUAGUCUUGAGUUCGAGAGAGGUGAGUGGAAUUCCGAGUGUAGAGGUGAAAUUCGUAGAUAUUCGGAGGAACACCAGUGGCGAAGGCGGCUCACUGGCUCGAUACUGACGCUGAGGUGCGAAAGCGUGGGGAGCAAACAGG